Molecule: RNA transcript, 3755 nt
Organism: Coturnix japonica (Japanese quail)
Lineage: Eukaryota; Metazoa; Chordata; Aves; Galliformes; Phasianidae
Gene: CCDC169
Gene name: coiled-coil domain containing 169
Source: RefSeq, a predicted model, not a curated record
GGGGCAUCCACAACCUCCCUCACACAACAGAAGUAAAUGAAAAACUAGAGCCUUUGUUAAUUUCAUAGCGUGCCAGUAAGGCAAAAUUGCAGCCCAUCUUCCUGAGAAAGGGCAGAGAUCAUGUCUCCAGUCAGCACCCGGUCCACGACAUGUUGACUCUCCCAGUAUCAUGCUGUCUCUUGCACCAAGCGGCGCUUUUCUGAGCAGAUGGUGAAGCAUUUCAGAACACAAACCCCCUGAAAUUUCUGGGCUUUAUGGGCUUGUUGAGUAGUCACUUGAAUGUCAGAGCUGGCAGUGAAGCAGCCAAAGAAAACGACAGGGAGACAGAGGUGCCUCCAUGCAGCACUGAGCUGUGCGAUUAACAGACGGCCUCGAGAAAGCUUUGCCUUAAAAACUCGAAGUAGAGCUAGAACCACCACCGCGGGGCAGGGCGGGCCCCGCCGCUCCCUCAGGCGGCCGCCAGAAACACAGAGGCCGUUUCCCGGCGCCAUGGGGGAGCGCGGCGACUCCGAAGGGCUGGAGAUGGAGCUGGGGAGGGAGAGGCGGAGGCAGCAAAUGCUUGAAAAUUCAAUAUCUGAAUUGAGAAAAACUGUAACAGAACUGGAGAAGAAGCUUAGCAGUGUUGAAGAUGAAGGUAAUGAGUGGAAAACCAGAUAUGAGAUGCAAGUAGAAUUGAACAGGCAGCUGCAAAGGCAAAUUAAUAUUCUUAAAGACAAGGUGGAGCUUAUUCGUGGAAAUCCAACAGAUAAACUGGCCAUUGUUCGCAUCUUUGAUCAAAUGCCUGUGGGCUCCUUAAAGGAGGUUCUCGAACAACUAAAAGAAGAGAAGAAAAGUCUCCAGAAUCAGCUAAAAGAUUAUGAACUAAGACUGGAACAAGAGGCAAAGGCUUACCACAAAGCUAACGAUGAGCGGCGCAUGUACCUUUCAGAGAUUUUGCAGACCUCAGCUAUGCUUAAAACUGCUGAAAGGCAAAAACCAGAUGCUCUGACAAGCAAGGGAGAAAAUCAGACACUGAGGCUGAGAGGGAGAUGCAACGUUCCGCAAAGCUUGAAGAUGGUUAAUCCCCAAAAAGGACCAAUUAAAAAGACUGCAGGAGUGAAGCAGCUUCCAAAACUAAACCCCUGAUUUAUUAUACUUUCUGUUUAACUGAAAUUUUCUGAAUUGAAAAUGAAUGUAUUUAUGCUUUACUGCACCAAACCCAGACCAGCACAUCUUCCUGGCAGCCGUAGUGUUACAGCCUGGAACCCCGUUCUCCCGGACUACAUUUGUACACAGCUUCACCAAGUGUAGAUCGUGCCUGACCAAUGUGGUGGCCUUCUACAAUGGAGUGAUGACAUCAGUGGACAAAGGAAAGGCAACUGAUGUCAUCUACCUAGACUUGCGCAAGGCCCUUGAUGUGGUCCCACAGCACUUUCUUUUCUGAAUUGGAAAGGGAUGAAGGAUGACAUUGCAGCUAUGUUGGUGCAGACUCUUAACAGCUGCAGCCGCCACAUCUGAUUGAAAAUAAUUACUGGUGAAUAUCCAUGUCAUGUUAUUCUCCAAUGAGCAGAGCCCAGCAGUGACACUCCAGUUUUUGAGGGAAAACCUCAAUGAUGGAAAGAAGGGCUCACCUUGAGGUGUGGCUGGUCAUACUCUUUGUUCCCCACUGCCCUGCAGCACAGCACCAGAUGCCUCCUGCAGCGAUCCAAGCCCUCUCACACGUUUCUCUUGGAGAAUCUGCUCAGGAAUGAUGUGGUUUGACUGAGCACUGUGGGCUGGGGAGCAGACGAGUCAUGCACAGCUGAAGAGUUAUUUUUGGGAGCUGGAUGAAGCAAGAAGGGUGUGCCCCUUGACUCAUGGCAUGCUGGUUAGGAAUAGAAUACUGAUAUGUCUUGAAAGAAAGAGAAGAAGGAAAUACAAAUUUGGGAAUUGUGUGGCCCAAUCCAGUGCUUAGAAGUCAAACAUCUAUGUCUGAGCUAAUCCUUGUAUGUUCCAUGUGUAGGCAAUGGAAAGAACAGAAACUUCGAGAGAGAAGUUUCUCUUGUUCUAUCAAGAACAACAACAAGUCAGCUCACAACAAGUCCUGUUCUUCAAACGCUGUAUUUACAGUGUGUGGUGAUCUAUUCUCAAGUUACAUUGGCACUUACAAGGGCAAAUUACCUCGUUUUUUUCUUACUUUUGAAGAGGUUUGGCAAGCUCUGUGCAAUUUGGAAUUGAAAGCAACAAACAUGUGCAUUAUUCUAAAAAGCCCUUCUAAAAUGUAUGGAACCCCAGGACACAGGUGGGGAAGUACAGCCCAUAGAUCAAUGCACUACAGGCCUCAGAAGAAAUGUGGUGCAAUCAUUUGGUAGGAAUCAAUAACAUAGAGAUCAAUAUUUUUUGUGUUCCUGUCUCUUAAAAAGCUGAGCUAGGAAUUUACUAAUGACAGGUCAGAUUAUUGGCCGGGCAAAGUUGUUCUGGAAGGAUUAAAAUAGUGUGCAGGUCCUGCCAGGCCUGCAGUGGCUGGCAGCAUAACUUAAUUAUUAUAAUGUAUUUCUGCACCAAAGAAAAUUUGCCCAAAUACACUUAAAGUGUUUGGAUGAAAUCAUCUGCCGUCAGAAGUCAUUGGUCCUUCCUUAGGCCAAGCCUUUUGUCUCUGAUUGGUACAUGAAAAGAAGGGACAAAUGCCACUCGUGUGCUGAUCACAGAAUGGUUGGAGAUGGCAAGGACUUCUGGAGGCCACCUGGCCCAACCCAGCCCCAGCAGGGACACCACAGAGGGGUGCCCAGGGCCUUGUCCAGGCCGCUCUGGGAGAUCCCUGAGGAAGAGACCUCACAACCUCUGGGAAACCUGUGCUCCAUCAUCGAUACAACACAGAAAUGCUCCUGGUGUUUGGAGGGAACCUCCUGUGCUCCACUCUGUGCUCAUGGCCCCUGGUCCUGGCCCUGGAGAGAACCCCACAGCACUGGGCACCCAGCAACCAGCACUGCCUCAGUAGUGGAGGUCUCCAGCUGCUGCCUGUCCUGUCAGAUUUGCACUUGUUGAUAACAAUGACACAAAUAACAGAUCCCUAAAAUGCAGGAGUGAUUUACUUUAAGCACUUUAGCACCUGCUGUUACUCAUUAAGAGAUUACCAUGCCCCAGAUUGUUACUGGCGGCCCAGUGCCGACCAUUUCAGCAUGCAGCACAUUCCUACGAGUUCCCUUCUCAUGGAUGCUUGCUCUUGUGUUCUCUGCUAUCUGCAGCAUGUGAUUUCUCACCGUAACAUUUCAUAGUACCACAAACUCAUUCCUUCAUCACAUUACAUUAAAGCUGGCCACAUGGAAGCCUGAGUCACAGGAGAGCUCAGCUGCUCUGAGCUGGCCCGGUGGCUUCCUGGCACCAUCUGUUGUCUGACACCAGCUCUGGACACUGCUGUGCCCCACUGGAGCUGCCUCUCCUCCCCUGGUCUAACCAGCAAAGCAUUAACCAAAAGUGCUUUGAAUUGUACUACUUAAUACAGCUCUGUGGACUACUUGUCUGGUCAAGGAGUGAACAUCAAGGAACAGCAGUAAGUGCCCACAACAGUUAUCAAUUACCAAGGAUGAAAUAAGGAGAUGUCUGUGCCCAAAGACCAGAACAUUAGGAAAAGAACACUUAGACAUUCCAUAGAACAGACAGAUCCUGCUUCCUUCCCAUCCAGAGCUCUGGUGAUGUGCAAAAUAACAUUAGGAAAAAAAAGGAGGGGGAAAAGAAGGAAAAAAAUCCAAUAGCAGAAGUAGAGAAGCAAUGUAAAUAAAAGUUAUAAGUGGCUGCAA